ACCUGGGUGGCUCAGUUGGUUGAGCGUCUGACUUUGGCUCAGGUCAUAAUCUCACAAUUUGUGAGUUCAAGCCCUAUCUCAGCUU
RNAcentral lists this transfer RNA (85 nucleotides) under Felis catus (domestic cat). It matches the Rfam family "tRNA". Rfam says of the family: Transfer RNA (tRNA) molecules are approximately 80 nucleotides in length. Their secondary structure includes four short double-helical elements and three loops (D, anti-codon, and T loops). Lineage: Eukaryota; Metazoa; Chordata; Mammalia; Carnivora; Felidae. The record is from Rfam by way of RNAcentral.